RNAcentral lists this long non-coding RNA (628 nucleotides) under Androctonus crassicauda. Lineage: Eukaryota; Metazoa; Arthropoda; Arachnida; Scorpiones; Buthidae. The record is from RNAcentral.
AAGUCACAAAAUGUUCUUUAACUAAAGGUACAAAGACGUGGAGUGAUUUGUGAAUGGGGGUGUCGGAGUGAAUGAGGGCGCUGGACUUGACUCUCAUGAUAUCUCACAGCUUUUUGCGGAUGGGGAGGCACGAGACUUGGCUGCAUUUUUUACAUUUGAAAUGUUUUUUGAUGGGAUUUAUUUUAUUUGUUAUUUGUUCCUCCUCCAUGACCCAAAAACGCCUCAUCGACAGUGAACAGAAUCUUUUUUCUUUUUUAUAUAUAUAUAUAAAUAAAAUUAGAUGGGUGCUUUGAGCCUCUCUCCAUCCCAUGGCAUUAAGAGGCUCUGGAAGAAGAAAGAUGUAUUGAUUACUCAAAGUGGUUACAAAAAGCUAGUGUCUGUAGAUUAUUGAUAUAAUGAACUCUAUAAAGUCUGGGAUAUAUGCAGUGGCGUACCAAGGGGGGCGGAGAAGACGGACCCUUCCGGUCUUCUGAUCAGUGGGAUCAUUGAAGAACCUUAAGUUUUAAGUAUACAUACCUAUAGGUAGGAAUAUAAAAAAGGGACUUUGUAUUCUGGGAGAAUGAUUACGUAUAAAUCUGCCAUAGUUAUGUUUAAAAGUUUAUGUUAGAAGCUAUAAUUUUAUAAGAUA